AGAGUUUGAUCCUGGCUCAGGAUGAACGCUAGCGACAGGCUUAACACAUGCAAGUCGAGGGGCAGCGGGGGCGUAGCAAUAUGCCUGCCGGCGACCGGCGCACGGGUGAGUAACACGUAUGUAACCUGCCCUAUGCAGGGGGAUAACCCGGAGAAAUCCGGCCUAAUACCGCGUAACACCUUAGGGGAGCAUUCUCUUGAGGUUAAAGGAGAGAUCCGGCAUAGGAUGGACAUGCGUCGCAUUAGGUAGACGGCGGGGCAACGGCCCACCGUGCCGACGAUGCGUAGGGGUUCUGAGAGGAAGGCCCCCCACACUGGUACUGAGACACGGACCAGACUCCUACGGGAGGCAGCAGUGAGGAAUAUUGGUCAAUGGCCGAGAGGCUGAACCAGCCAAGUCGCGUGAGGGAAGAAUGUCCUAAGGAUUGUAAACCUCUUUUGUCGGGGAGCAAAAAGGCUCUGCGGAGUCGUAUUGAGAGUACCCGAAGAAAAAGCAUCGGCUAACUCCGUGCCAGCAGCCGCGGUAAUACGGAGGAUGCGAGCGUUAUCCGGAUUUAUUGGGUUUAAAGGGUGCGCAGGCGGCGUGUCAAGCAAGCGGUAAAAUAGCGGGGCUCAACCCCGUCGAGCCGUUUGAACUGGCGCGCUUGAGUUCAGGCGAGGUAGGCGGAAUUCGUGGUGUAGCGGUGAAAUGCAUAGAUGUCACGAAGAACUCCGAUUGCGAAGGCAGCUUACCAGUCUGCGACUGACGCUCAGGCACGAAAGUGUGGGUAUCGAACAGGAUUAGAUACCCUGGUAGUCCACACAGUAAACGAUGAGCGCUAGGUGUCCGGGUCGCAUGAGACUUGGGUGCCCGAGCGAAAGCGUUAAGCGCUCCACCUGGGGAGUACGCCGGCAACGGCGAAACUCAAAGGAAUUGACGGGGGCCCGCACAAGCGGAGGAACAUGUGGUUUAAUUCGAUGAUACGCGAGGAACCUUACCCGGGCUCAAACGACUCAGGAAUAUAUUGGAAACGAUGUAGCCAGCAAUGGUUUGAGUCGAGGUGCUGCAUGGUUGUCGUCAGCUCGUGCCGUGAGGUGUCGGCUUAAGUGCCAUAACGAGCGCAACCCCUACCGCCAGUUGCCAACGGGUAAAGCCGGGAACUCUGGCGGGACUGCCGGCGCAAGCUGCGAGGAAGGCGGGGAUGACGUCAAAUCAGCACGGCCCUUACGUCCGGGGCGACACACGUGUUACAAUGGCAGGUACAGCGGGAAGCCACCUGGUGACAGGGAGCGGAACCCGAAAGCCUGUCUCAGUUCGGAUUGGAGUCUGCAACUCGACUCCAUGAAGCUGGAUUCGCUAGUAAUCGCGCAUCAGCCAUGGCGCGGUGAAUACGUUCCCGGGCCUUGCACACACCGCCCGUCA
Molecule: ribosomal RNA, 1401 nt
Filed under: uncultured bacterium
Lineage: Bacteria
Description: 16S ribosomal RNA
Rfam family: Bacterial small subunit ribosomal RNA
Source: RNAcentral